GGGAGACUAAUUCAAUCGGUAGAAUGGCAGCCUCCAAAGUUGCUCAUGGGGGUUCAAGUCCCUCGUCUCUUG
Molecule: transfer RNA, 72 nt
Filed under: Andalucia godoyi
Lineage: Eukaryota; Jakobea; Jakobida; Andaluciidae
Description: tRNA-Trp
Rfam family: tRNA
About the family: Transfer RNA (tRNA) molecules are approximately 80 nucleotides in length. Their secondary structure includes four short double-helical elements and three loops (D, anti-codon, and T loops). Further hydrogen bonds mediate the characteristic L-shaped molecular structure. tRNAs have two regions of fundamental functional importance: the anti-codon, which is responsible for specific mRNA codon recognition, and the 3' end, to which the tRNAs corresponding amino acid is attached (by aminoacyl-tRNA synthetases). tRNAs cope with the degeneracy of the genetic code in two manners: having more than one tRNA (with a specific anti-codon) for a particular amino acid; and 'wobble' base-pairing, i.e. permitting non-standard base-pairing at the 3rd anti-codon position.
Source: RNAcentral